This 180-nucleotide ribosomal RNA is filed under the name uncultured Glomeromycotina. RNAcentral's name for it is "partial small subunit ribosomal RNA". The stretch from base 93 to 180 matches the Rfam family "Eukaryotic small subunit ribosomal RNA", at positions 738 to 824 of the family's 1831-position model. The record is from RNAcentral. Lineage: Eukaryota; Fungi; Glomeromycota.
GGCCUGGCUGGGUGGUCUUGCCGCAAGGUAAGCACUGCUCUGGUCGGGUCUUUCCUUCUGGGGAGCCGGCGUGCUCUUAAUUGAGUGCGUCGGGGAUCCAGGACUUUUACUUUGAAAAAAUUAGAGUGUUCAAAGCAGGCAUUUUUUAGCUUGAAUACAUUAGCAUGGAAUAAUAGAAUA